RNAcentral lists this ribosomal RNA (525 nucleotides) under Conus mus. RNAcentral's name for it is "partial 12S ribosomal RNA". The record is from RNAcentral. Lineage: Eukaryota; Metazoa; Mollusca; Gastropoda; Neogastropoda; Conidae.
UUUUUCGGUAAAAGACAGUUAGGCAGAAAAAAGAUCAUUAGACCUUUAAUAUAGGGGUAAAAUCUAUAUACUAAAAGUUAUUUUAAUUGUGAUUAUAUCAUAGAUGCUGAAUCUGUGACAACUUUAAGGGAAACUGGGAUUGGAUACCCCACUAUUUCUAGUAGUAAAUUUAAUUUAGGUUUACCAGAGUACUACGAAUAAAAAGUUUAAAACUCAAAGAGCUUGGCGGUGUUUUAGACCUCUCAGGGGAACCUGUCUCAUAAUCGACAAUCCACGCUAGACCUGACCCUUUAUGGCAAUUCAGCCUGUAUACCGUCGUCGUCAGGUAACUUCUUAAAAUAUAGCAGUUAGCCCGAUAAUUUUAUUAAUUGACACGUCAGAUCAAGGUGCAGCUAAUAAAAGGGAGAGGAUGGGUUACAAUUGUAGAUUUAUAAUUACGAAGGGUAUUUAGAAAUAAAAUACUUAAAGGAGGACUUGAAAGUAAUUUUGAUUAUAUAAAUAAAAUGAAUAAGGCUCUGAAACGUG